Molecule: long non-coding RNA, 901 nt
Organism: Syngnathus typhle (broad-nosed pipefish)
Lineage: Eukaryota; Metazoa; Chordata; Actinopteri; Syngnathiformes; Syngnathidae
Exons: 7
Source: RefSeq, a predicted model, not a curated record
UGAGGAAAUGGCCAGCAAUUAGAGAAGCAAGUUUGUCGGCGAGUUUUGUGGAAAACAAAGCAGUCAUCCCAGUAGAACGAAAAAUAAGAUAAAUCACCAUGGUUCGCAUCGAGAGUCCCCCUGAUGUCAACCACCAACAUGUUGGAUAAACAAAUACUCAUCAUGUUGUUGGAACCCCAGACAGAUGGCGCCUGUGAAACUAAAGGUUUCGCUGGAUGAAGGAGAGCAGUCGGGCUUCAUUAGCAGAAGGCGCACUGGAAGAAGAGAAAGAGGUGGAAAGUUCAGCAGAAAAAAAAUACGUACAGGGUUCACCAGCUAUAAGGAAGGUUCAAGUUUCAUGGAAGGAAAUGAAGGAAUCUAAAAAGUCCAGACGAUGUGUGUUACGGCGCGUGGCCAUCGCAUCUUUAGGUGAUGUAUUGGAUUCAAUCGUUGAAUGGUGUUCUUCUGUACAUUUUUCAUGCUGUGUGGAAGCAUGUUGGAAGUGAAAGUUGAGUCUACAGAUUGUUUGAGAACAAGCAGCUUCACCUCUGGCCAUUCAUAUGAAACAGCAACUUAGAAAAAAGGUCAAGUUUGGUGGAGUCUCAUCAAAUCCAGACAGAGCACAGCGUAACCCCUUCAAGUAUUGCCACCUACAGGACUGGAGUGCAACUGUACCUACAGUAUACUCAGUUUACCUCAUUAAAUACUGCAAAAGUCAUGUGACAGUAACAUUACUGAUUCUGGACUAUUUUAACGGGCGUAUAAUAUGGAAAAUGUCAUUACUUGUAAUCAAAUAAGUGUACAGAAAUAACGUGUGCUUGUAAUUCUCGACCCUUCUCCAAUUGGUCAAAGCAUGUCAUAUUAAGAGACCUGGGGACAGUUUAAAAGUGUGAAAAGUACAUUCAUGAUACCUCUUUUUGAA